Long non-coding RNA from Sapajus apella (tufted capuchin), 1182 nucleotides. RefSeq lists it as uncharacterized. NCBI's taxonomy places the organism in Eukaryota, Metazoa, Chordata, Mammalia, Primates, Cebidae. The record is from RefSeq and is a predicted model, not a curated record. The transcript is spliced from 2 exons.
AAACGGUGUAACACUGCUAAGCUAGUGUAACAGCAAGUGAAACUGCAAACUUAAUCAAAAACAAAAAGAGAGAAAGAGAAAGAGGGAGCACUUGGUGGUGACCCAACCCGUAGCCCCUUUGUCCAGCAAGACAAUAGAUAACUGGGGCCACUGGAGUUUCAGAGAAGCAGCUUUUUGCCUACCACGGAUCUGUUCAGUGGGAGGCCACAAGAUUAUACAUCAGUUCUUGUACAUGCUGGACUGCCCUCUAUCCCUCUUGGGAAGAAACUUGUUAAGCAUACUAAAAGCUGCUAUCAGGUUCACUAAUAAGGGCUCCCUGCAGCUCAAACUGCCUAAGGCAUGGAUUAUCACGGCUCUCACAGUCCCUUGGGAGGAGGAGUAGAGACUCUUCCUGACUGAGCCGGGUUGAGAAUUAACCGCUGUGCUGGCCAAGGGAUGGCCAUGAGUCUGGGCAGAAGACAACCCUCCAGGUUGGCAGUAAGCCAAGCCCCGGUGGUUAUCAAAGUAAACCCAGGGGUAUUCCUAGUCAGACAAAAGCAGUACCAGGUUCCAAGGGAAGCUCUUAAGGACAUCCAGGUCCAUCUCAGACACCUGAAAGCCUAUGGUAUUAUAGUACCUUGCCAGUCUCUUUGGAACAUGCCUCUCCUGUCCAUCCGCAAGACGGGGACCAAGGACUACUGACCAGUGCAGGACCUGUGCUUGGUCAACCAAGCAACUAUGACCUUGCACCUCACUGUGCCCGCUCCCUAUACGUUGCUAGGGAAGGUUGAGGGUGUUCCUGCGUGUGUCCAUCACAGCCAUGUGAAACCUGCAGCACCAGACACCUGGGAAAUAAAGCCAGAUCUCCGUAACCCAUGCAAGAUCACCUUAAGGAGAGCUGAGACAGCAAGCCCUGCUCCAGUCACACCCCGGAAGCUGACUGGUCUACGCUCGGCCGAAGCAUGAAGACUUCCAGUGUGGGACCAACAUUCCAUUCUUCAAACUAUGGACUUGUGCCCGUAUACAUCAGAUCACCAAGGUAGAAACAGGAGGACUGAUUUAAAUGUGAUUGAAUCCAAAGAACUGGGAAUCAGGGGAAGACCCUGCAGCCAGGUCAAUCCUGUUACAAAGAGCUGUUUAAAGAAAAUGUAGUAGAGCCAGUCUGGUGGAUAAAGUUGUCUCUGGGUAAGACCUCCGUUUAAA